GAUUAGGUGGCUGAAGUUAGGCGAUAGAUUGUAAAUCUAUGUAUGAGAAUACUCUCCUUAAUUA
RNAcentral lists this transfer RNA (64 nucleotides) under Nautilocaris saintlaurentae. RNAcentral's name for it is "tRNA-Tyr". It matches the Rfam family "tRNA". Rfam says of the family: Transfer RNA (tRNA) molecules are approximately 80 nucleotides in length. Their secondary structure includes four short double-helical elements and three loops (D, anti-codon, and T loops). The record is from RNAcentral. Lineage: Eukaryota; Metazoa; Arthropoda; Malacostraca; Decapoda; Alvinocarididae.